GCUGGGGUAUGGAGGUUCUCUACGCUCUCCCCACUUCUUUCCAGGGACACUGCACCUCUGAGAAAUCCCAGGGGUGGAUGAGGCACCUAGCUGGUGCCCGCCUGCAGGCUGCUCGCUUGCUGAGAGGCGGCGUGCCAGCUCCGCGCACUGCGCCUCAGUGCCAGAUCAGGGAGCUGUCGGCUCAGCGCCCACGCCCCUCCGCUUCAGCUCCGGGGAGCCCCAGGGUGGGCUGCUGGAAGGCGCGACUGCAACUUGAUUUUGCCUCACUGUUGUUGCUGGCAGAAUACGUACACCAAUGCGGACAAGCUCCUAGAAGCAGCAGAGCAGUUGGCUCAGACGGGGGAAUGUGACCCCGAGGAGAUCUACAAGGCAGCUCGACACCUGGAGGUGCGCAUCCAAGACUUCGUGCGCAGGGUGGAGCAGCGGAAGCUUCUCCUGGACAUGUCUGUUUCCUUCCACACACACACCAAAGAGUUGUGGACAUGGAUGGAAGACCUUCAGAAGGAGAUGUUGGAGGAUGUCUGUGCAGAUUCUGUGGAUGCAGUCCAGGAACUGAUCAAGCAGUUCCAGCAGCAGCAGACCGCCACUCUAGAUGCCACACUCAAUGUCAUCAAGGAAGGCGAAGACCUUAUCCAGCAGCUCAGGUCAGCGCCUCCCUCCCUCGGGGAGCCCAGCGAGGCCAGGGACUCGGCUGUGUCCAACAACAAAACACCCCACAGCAGCUCCAUCAGCCACAUCGAGUCGGUCCUGCAGCAGCUUGAUGAUGCCCAGGUGCAGAUGGAGGAGCUGUUCCACGAGCGGAAGAUCAAGCUGGACAUCUUCCUGCAACUGCGCAUCUUUGAGCAGUACACCAUCGAG
This 858-nucleotide small RNA is filed under the name Pan troglodytes (chimpanzee). RNAcentral describes it as "retained intron". The record is from RNAcentral. Lineage: Eukaryota; Metazoa; Chordata; Mammalia; Primates; Hominidae.